RNAcentral lists this ribosomal RNA (329 nucleotides) under uncultured eukaryote. Its description in RNAcentral is "partial 18S ribosomal RNA". It matches the Rfam family "Eukaryotic small subunit ribosomal RNA", at positions 1470 to 1796 of the family's 1831-position model. The record is from RNAcentral.
CCCUUAGAUGUCCUGGGCCGCACGCGCGCUACACUGAUGCAUUCAACGAGUUUUACCUUGGCCGAGAGGCCUGGGCAAUCUUUUAAACCUGCAUCGUGAUAGGGAUAGAUUAUUGCAAUUAUUAAUCUUGAACGAGGAAUUCCUAGUAAACGCAGAUCAUCAAUCUGCAUUGAUUACGUCCCUGCCCUUUGUACACACCGCCCGUCGCUACUACCGAUUGAAUGGUUUAGUGAGGACUCCUGAUUGGCGCCGCCGCCCCGGCAACGGAGCAGCGGACUGCCGAAAAGUUGUUCAAACUUGAUCAUUUAGAGGAAGUAAAAGUCGUAACA